RNAcentral lists this ribosomal RNA (253 nucleotides) under uncultured bacterium. RNAcentral's name for it is "partial 16S ribosomal RNA". It matches the Rfam family "Bacterial small subunit ribosomal RNA", at positions 524 to 776 of the family's 1533-position model. The record is from RNAcentral.
UACAGAGGGUGCAAGCGUUACUCGGAAUUACUGGGCGUAAAGCGUGCGUAGACGGUUGCGUAAGUCAGAUGUGAAAGCCCCGGGCUCAACCUGGGAAUUGCAUUUGAGACUGCGUAGCUAGGGUGCGGAAGAGGGAAGCGGAAUUUCCGGUGUAGCGGUGAAAUGCGUAGAUAUCGGAAGGAACACCAGUGGCGAAGGCGGCUCACUGGCCCGAUACUGACGCUGAGGUGCGAAAGCGUGGGGAGCAAACAGG